UGUGCUGCUUUAGAUUUGACAGGCAAGACGCACAGUAAGAAAAGUUGUUGAAGAAUAUGUUGAUAAACUCAGCUUUUCAAAAAUUGUGGCUAAUUAUGAUUUAACAAAAGAAGAAAUUUCACUUUUUCUGCAACAAAAAGUGAAACAGUUUGAAAAUUGCUGUCUGUGUUUACUCAGGUUGUAUUUGUCAAAUAAAAUCUGUUAGAUAUGAAAUAUUGAAGUAUUAAAAAGAAGAGAAAAUCUUUAAUGAUUUAGAGAUGCUUUUACAAAGCAACAUGCUAUGUCCCUGCUCUGCCUUAGUAUAAAUAAAAAAGGACAGAAAGGAAAAAGUUAUAUAUUGAUUUUUUUAUUAAAAUGAAAAACUUAGUUUUUUAUAAAUUGUUUUGCUACUUAAACCACUUUUUUUCUGGAAUAAAUUACCAACAAUUCUAUUUGAGAUACUCCGGUGUGUAAUUUUUUUUAAAGUACAAGUUUCAUCUGUUAAAGAACAAAUACUCAGGAUGUCUUUUUUUGUUUUAGUUAGGACUUGUUGUCAAAUGUUGUUUCUUUCUCCGUUUACGACGUAGCAGUGAGCUACAUGCUUCUAUAAAAUGUAAGCGUCCACAUUUGCCUCCCAUCCAGGCCCUCCUACUGUCGAUAACAGAAUUUACUGCGCCUCCCCCACCAAAAUCAAUUUCUACACUCUGCGCAGUAUUGAGCCGGGUUCUGCUGGAGGUGUCUUCCAGUUUAAGGAGAGUUUUUCCAUUCCACUGUCACCACUUGCAUGACGGACCACUUUAAAGUCAACAACUCAAUGCAAGCGGUUUCCUGCUGUUGCUACGUGCUCAUCCAGGAGGAGUGAAUGAUGAAAAUCAAUAACUCGAUACCAUCUGCCAAAUUAACCUUGCUGUAUUGUUUAACUAGAAUCAAUUGAAAUGUAUCUGUGAUAGAAUUGAAAUGAUUGAUGUGCUUUUUGUGUUGCAGAUGCUGCCAUAUCACAGUGCAAUUGGAGCUAUCUGAACAUUGCACUGAUCAGAUGGAAAUAACGAAAUGAGUUGGUCCUUUCUGAUCAAAUAAAAACAUAAAUUUCUUCUUUUUGUAAGCAGAACGAGCAAUGUAAAACAGGCAACUAGCAAUAUACUGCUAAAAUCGGAGUCUGUAGCAUAUUUUAUGUCACAUGGCUGCAGGUGGGAUGGGAACUCGGGUGCCAACGCUGCAGCUUGAGAGAAUAAGGUGAUGCCUGUGCCUGGCUGGUUUUGUCUCUCCAAAGACAAAAACUAAAGCUGUUUGAGAAUAUUUCUAAUUGUUUCACACCAAAGAAAAAAACUGCUGCGCUCUUCAAAUUGAAGAUGCUGCAUCCAUCCAUCGACUUACCCAAUGCUGGAGCCCUUCAUCAUGUUGCUGAUGGAUCCGCUACCAACAUCAAUGAUCUAUCUACAAAUCAAUGUCACAGACGUUUGCCAUAUAGAAUAUUUUUUUAAUGUUUUCUCAUGUUGAAAAACCUAAGGUUUGUGCUAACCAUAAUAUGUACACAACCCACAA
Long non-coding RNA from Xiphophorus hellerii (green swordtail), 1521 nucleotides. RefSeq lists it as uncharacterized. Lineage: Eukaryota; Metazoa; Chordata; Actinopteri; Cyprinodontiformes; Poeciliidae. The record is from RefSeq and is a predicted model, not a curated record. The transcript is spliced from 2 exons.